RNAcentral lists this ribosomal RNA (428 nucleotides) under uncultured Desulfobulbus sp. RNAcentral describes it as "bacterial SSU rRNA". It matches the Rfam family "Bacterial small subunit ribosomal RNA", at positions 954 to 1382 of the family's 1533-position model. The record is from RNAcentral. Lineage: Bacteria; Pseudomonadati; Thermodesulfobacteriota; Desulfobulbia; Desulfobulbales; Desulfobulbaceae.
AAGCAACGCGAAGAACCUUACCAGGCCUUGACAUGCAGAGAACUUUCCAGAGAUGGAUUGGUGCCUUCGGGAACUCUGACACAGGUGCUGCAUGGCUGUCGUCAGCUCGUGUCGUGAGAUGUUGGGUUAAGUCCCGCAACGAGCGCAACCCUUGCCUUUAGUUGCCAGCAGUUCGGCUGGGCACUCUAAAGGGACUGCCGGUGUUAAACCGGAGGAAGGUGGGGAUGACGUCAAGUCCUCAUGGCCUUUAUGACCAGGGCUACACACGUACUACAAUGGCCGAUACAAAGGGCAGCGACACUGCGAGGUGAAGCCAAUCCCGUAAAAUCGGUCUCAGUCCGGAUUGGAGUCUGCAACUCGACUCCAUGAAGUUGGAAUCGCUAGUAAUCGUGGAUCAGCAUGCCACGGUGAAUACGUUCCCGGGCCUU